Molecule: ribosomal RNA, 254 nt
Filed under: uncultured bacterium
Lineage: Bacteria
Description: partial 16S ribosomal RNA
Rfam family: Bacterial small subunit ribosomal RNA
Source: RNAcentral
UACGGGGGGAGCAAGCGUUGUUCGGAUUUACUGGGCGUAAAGGGCGCGUAGGCGGUCAGCACAAGUCAGUUGUGAAAUCUCCGGGCUUAACUCGGAAAGGUCAACUGAUACUGUGCGACUAGAGUGCGGAAGGGGCAACUGGAAUUCUCGGUGUAGCGGUGAAAUGCGUAGAUAUCAGGAGGAAUACCGAUGGCGAAGGCAGGUCUCUGGGCUGACACUGACGCUCAUGCACGAAAGCGUGGGGAGCAAACAGG